UACAGAGGGUGCAAGCGUUAAUCGGAUUUACUGGGCGUAAAGCGCACGUAGGCGGUUUAUUAAGUCGGGUGUGAAAUCCCUGGGCUCAACCUAGGAAUUGCAUUCGAUACUGGUAGGCUAGAGUGUGGUAGAGGAUAGUGGAAUUCCAGGUGUAGCGGUGAAAUGCGUAGAUAUCUGGAGGAACAUCAGUGGCGAAGGCGGCUAUCUGGACCAACACUGACGCUGAGGUGCGAAAGCGUGGGGAGCAAACAGG
This 253-nucleotide ribosomal RNA is filed under the name uncultured bacterium. RNAcentral's name for it is "partial 16S ribosomal RNA". It matches the Rfam family "Bacterial small subunit ribosomal RNA", at positions 524 to 776 of the family's 1533-position model. The record is from RNAcentral.